UCGUGUCCCAGAUUAAUAAACCAUUUGUGUCAUGAAAUUUCAGUAUCUGAUACUAUCCUAUUCUCUCUCUUUUCAUAUGUAAUAUGAGAACGAACACAUAAGUUUCUUCUGAACCAUGUAGCUGUUGGUGUCUGUGUAGUAUUCUCUUCUGCUGCUACAACCAGCAUUUAGCAAUUCAUUAUGUCGCUAAAAACAAAGCAUUAAGACUAAAGACUUGUGAAGUGGACCCCAAGGAUCUGCAAGUCUGCUACUCUAAUUAUAGUGAAUCAAGAGAAAAGAAAGAAUCCAGGAACAAGGCAGUGAGAGAAUUAGAGAAAAAUGAGGAAUAGUCUGAACAGAGAAACAGAUGUUUGUGACAUUCCUAUACAAGCACAUUUCUAAUUGCUUGCAGCAUUCAAGUUAAAAACAAAACAAAAAUAAAUCAAAACAACAGUGUGGUAGGAUAUUUAAAAGACGAAGUACUAGUCUUAUGCAGAAAUGAAGGGUUUUUAUUGCAUACUUCAUGCUUUUACAAUAAUCUGCCAUUGAUGACUGUCAGGCAAAGACACCUGCUACAUUAUUGGUUAGCUUUUCCUAUGAAAUCAUGAUUUUAUCACUUAGUCAACCCAACCUAAAUAUUCAGGAAAAUGGGGUAUGCCAGCCUGUGCUUAGUCUUGGAAACAGCAAAAUUGGUAGCAGUAUCUUUCAUUAUCGAUGUAAUUGAAUGAUUUGUAGCAUUUAUGGCUUUCAACAUAUGGAUGCUACUCUUCACAGUGUGUGUGGCCCACCAGGAAAUCAGUCACUUUGUCCUGAAGAUACAUUUUUCUCCUACCUACAAAUAGUUUGCUUUGGAGAUCAGGAGAGCUAGAGUAUUGGGCAGAAGUAUUUCCCACCUCCCUCCUCCUUGCCAAGCCCUCCAAUAUCCCAGAAAUUUGUUAGGUUUGAUGGAAGCUCAUAUGAAUGCCUAACUUGUCUGUGCCCAGUACUGUGUUGAGCACAAUGACUUUGGGAAGCUAGAAGUGCACUUUGUUGUGUUGCAGCCCAGGUGUGCCAUGUGCUGAACAUCAUUGUAAGGGAUAGGACUGGCUCCUGCCAAGAACUUCAGAUUCCAUGUCCUUUUUCCUUUGAAGACUCAUUACAUGAUCCUAUUUAUUCUACCUGAGCCUUAGCACUUUGGGUCUGCUAGGAUAAAGACCUUCCUCGAAUGCACUUCCUAGGCUCAUUCUAGGUCUUCCAUUUGAUCUGUGUGGUGCAAUGCAAGAGGCAACAAGCCCACCCAGAGCACCGGAGUAGUACAGAAAAGCAUUAGUAGUGGUCCAUGCGAGCCAGAUGAGAACUGCUGCUAAAUUGGGGUUCAUAAAACCUAUUUGUUUCCUGGCAAAGACACUGGUUCUUCUUUGCUCUGCAUUUUCUCUGAGCAGCUAUACCUCCUUCAUGAAGGGCAUGCCUGCAGCCCUUUCUCUUUGAUCUGUAGAUUACUCUGUAAAAGGUGCGGCUUCGUAAUCUGAUUUUAGUUACCUAAUUUAGGUAGUGUUAAGAGUCCACAUCCUAAGAUACCUACAUUUCUCUGCAAGCUGUUACAGAGAAUUUAGGCUCUUGAAUAAAGGUAUUGCAUAUCAAACA
RNAcentral lists this long non-coding RNA (1602 nucleotides) under Coturnix japonica (Japanese quail). Its description in RNAcentral is "lncRNA (ENSCJPG00005010990.1)". The record is from RNAcentral. Lineage: Eukaryota; Metazoa; Chordata; Aves; Galliformes; Phasianidae.